ACAUCUAAGUACCCCGAGGAAAAGAAAUCAACCGAGAUUCCCCCAGUAGCGGCGAGCGAACGGGGAGCAGCCCAGAGCCUGAAUCAGUGUGUGUGUUAGUGGAAGCGUCUGGAAAGGCGCGCGAUACAGGGUGACAGCCCCGUACACAAAAAUGCACAUGCUGUGAGCUCGAUGAGUAGGGCGGGACACGUGGUAUCCUGUCUGAAUAUGGGGGGACCAUCCUCCAAGGCUAAAUACUCCUGACUGACCGAUAGUGAACCAGUACCGUG
Molecule: ribosomal RNA, 269 nt
Filed under: Escherichia coli
Lineage: Bacteria; Pseudomonadati; Pseudomonadota; Gammaproteobacteria; Enterobacterales; Enterobacteriaceae
Description: partial 23S ribosomal RNA
Rfam family: Bacterial large subunit ribosomal RNA
Source: RNAcentral